Molecule: non-coding RNA, 73 nt
Organism: Myotis lucifugus (little brown bat)
Lineage: Eukaryota; Metazoa; Chordata; Mammalia; Chiroptera; Vespertilionidae
Source: Rfam
GCCAAUUUGGCUCAGUGGAUAGAGCGUUGGCCUGUGGACCAAAGGGUCUCGGGUUCGAUUCCCGUUAAGGGCA